GACGAACGCUGGCGGCGUGCUUAACACAUGCAAGUCGAACGGAAAGGCCCUGCUUUUGUGGGGUGCUCGAGUGGCGAACGGGUGAGUAACACGUGAGUAACCUGCCCUUGACUUUGGGAUAACUUCAGGAAACUGGGGCUAAUACCGGAUAGGGGCUCCUGCUGCAUGGUGGGGGUUGGAAAGUUUCGGCGGUUGGGGAUGGACUCGCGGCUUAUCAGCUUGUUGGUGGGGUAGUGGCUUACCAAGGCUUUGACGGGUAGCCGGCCUGAGAGGGUGAACGGGCACAUUGGGCCUAAGGUACGGCCCAGACUCCUACGGGAGGCAGCAGUGGGGAAUAUUGCACAAUGGGCGGAAGCCUGAUGCAGCAACGCCGCGUGCGGGAUGACGGCCUUCGGGUUGUAAACCGCUUUCGCCUGUGACGAAGCGUGAGUGACGGUAAUGGGUAAAGAAGCACCGGCUAACUACGUG
RNAcentral lists this ribosomal RNA (468 nucleotides) under uncultured bacterium. RNAcentral's name for it is "partial 16S ribosomal RNA". It matches the Rfam family "Bacterial small subunit ribosomal RNA", at positions 28 to 507 of the family's 1533-position model. The record is from RNAcentral.